UCUCGAGGGAGCGCGGCCGGAUAAAAAUGGCGAUGGGGUGGAGUUGAGCUGCCUGCAGCCUCCGGACGGCAUUUGCUGAAACAUCCAAAAUGCAGUGCUUGCCCUGGGCAAGAAGACAGAAAUUAGUCGCCUCCAGCGUACCUGCUCAGCCACCUCGCGCACCGACUGGACGCUCGUCCCGUAAAGGUGGCUGUUGUACUGGCCGGCCUCGAUGAACUUGUGGCUCUGGAUGUCCUUCUCCAUCUUCUCCCGAGAGGCAACAAAAUGGUAGUCCCGGCCAUCCACUUCGUACUCCCGUUUCGGCCGAGUGGUGUCUGUGGAGUGGAAAGACCACUUGAAAAUUGCUGAGGUUCUUGGCAAACAACAUCAUGAUUUUUCUGCCUCUCGUAGCAAUUGUCAUUCCACAGAAUUCAAACUGCGACACAGUAACAACCAGAAAUAAAAGCAGCAGUCAUUCAAAA
Long non-coding RNA from Rhineura floridana, 461 nucleotides. RefSeq lists it as uncharacterized. The record is from RefSeq and is a predicted model, not a curated record. The transcript has 3 exons. NCBI's taxonomy places the organism in Eukaryota, Metazoa, Chordata, Lepidosauria, Squamata, Rhineuridae.